CCACAAACUUGCAGAGAAGUCAGAAUAUUACUUUCCAUAAUAUAUUACCGGUUGUCAUGAUUAACAUUUAUUGACGAUCUGCUAUGUUUCAGUCUCCAUAAUAAGAGUUUUCUCCGUCAUUUGUUUAAUCUACACAGGAGCUUUGCAAAAAAACUUAUUAUUGCUAUUUUAUAGAUAAAAUAUCAGAGAUGCAGAGUAUUUAUUUAUUUAUUUGAUUGUUUAGGACUGCAGCUGCGGCAUAUGGAAGUUCCCAAGUGAGGGACUGAAUCCAAGCUGUAGCUUCCAGCCUAGCCACAGCCACAGCAAUGUGGGAUCCAAGCCACAUCUGUGAACUAUGCCAUAGCUCAUGGCAAUGCCAGAUCGUUAACCCACUGAGUGAGGCCAGGGAUCGAACCCACAUACUCUUGCAUACUAGUCAGUUCGUUACUGCUGAGCCAUGAUGGGAACUCCCGAGGUAUGUCCAAUUUUAAAACCUAGAAUGUGCAUCAUCUUUGGGCUAGUGUCAGUGCUCCCAGGUAUUCUCUAUUCAUGUUAUUAUUUGUACUAUAAAAUGCAUUUUGCUGUGUUGAAAAUGGAAUAUGAUAGUGCUGCUGAAACAUGGCUUCCAUUUUUGUAUUUCCCAGGUUGACCCAGGUGUGAUUUAACAGGUAUUUCCUCAGGGGGAAUAAAGAAAGUAAGCCAUGCCACAUAACAACAAAAACCACUCUGUUAACGGAUUCUUGUAUCCACUUCAAAGAGCCUCUAUGCAUUUGGUUCUACUUCAUUAUCACUUUGGCAAAAACUAAUCAGAUGGAGUUAAAGAAAUGGCUGUGAAUGUCAUGUUGUAUCUUCAAUAAAUAGUACAAGGAUUAAAAUAAUCAUACAUUUCCACUUUCCUGAAAGUUACUAUAAAAUACUAUUCCACUGAAGCCAAAGAUGUCUGAAGUGGGAGGCAGUAGUGAUUCCCCCAUUACUUCCACCUUUUCUCUUUGUAGGACCACCGUACAUAUAACUUUCCCAGUGCAUAAUUUGCUUUGACCAACAAAGUGCAAACAAGAUUUUAUGUUUAUCAUUCUUGAUCUUGCCCUUCCUUUGAUACUCAUGGAAGUACACGUUGAUUCUGAGGUUCAUCCCUGAACUUUUGCCGAGAAGAUAGUUGCCUUCUACUGUUGCUAAGAGCCACACAGAUUUGAUGUGAGGGAGGGAAGAAAGUGUUGUCUUGAGGUAGUAAAAGUUGUUGGUUUGUAAUUUUUACAUAACUGAUACACUUGACAUAACAGGAUACCACAUCAGCACUGAGAAACAUUAUUUCACUAUUAUGUAGGAAGUGAAAAUUUUCAGGAAAAUUUAAGCAAUGACAAAAAUGGGCAUGUAUAAUCAUGUGUUUCCAUACAGAUAUUUACUGAUUACAUUUUGUUUACAAAUUAUAUUCUAAGUUAUGGUAGAAAUAUCAAGAAUGCAUUAAAUAUUAUAUCUAGCAAUAUUGUAACUACAUGAAUCAUAUGUUUUUCUAGUUCCUCUACAUCCUCAAAAUAUUGAAUGUAUUUUUUUUUUGUCUUUUUGCCAUUUCUUGGGUCGCUCCUGUGGCAUAUGGAGGUUCCCAGGCUAGGGGUCGAAUCCGAGCCAUAGCCGCCAGUCUAUGCCACAGCAAUGUGGGAUCCGAGCCGCGUCUGCAACCUUCACCACAGCCCAGGGCAACGCCGGAUCCUUGACCCACUGAGCAAGGCCAGGGAUCAAACCCGAAACCUCAUGGUUCCUAAUCGGAUUCGUUAACCACUGAGCCACGACGGAACUCCUACUGAAUGUAUUUUUGUAAUUUUAAAUUUGUUAUAAAUUCUCCCAGGUGUGUUAUAAAGAUUUAAAAUUGAAAUAGGGCUAAGAAAUAUUAUACACAUAUGUGUGUAUAAAUGUAUAUGUAAAUUAUUUACCAAAGGAAAAUACUGAUUGUUGGUUUCUUAUUAGGUUUAUUACAGUGAAAAAUAACACUAAAAUAAACCAGACAAAUAUUUGGCCAAAAUAAACUGUUAACUACUACCUACUUCUGCAUAAAUUUCAUCACCUUAACUGACAAAAAUAAUGAACUCACUAAAACAAAAUGCACAGUGAAUUCUGAAUUCUCAUAAACUUGAAUGUUUAAAAGUCAUUCUAUGGUGGCAUAUGAGCAACUGACACUUUCAUUUAUAAGGAUUACUUAUCAAUAUACGGAACUUUUAAAAAAAGUUUUUGUAUCAACACUCAUACUACAAAUAGCUUCAAAUCCUAACUCUGCCACACAGGAGAAGGAAGGGAAAAUAUCCAUGAUGAAAUAAAGCUAGCACCGGCUAGGUAACCCUAUAAUGGGUUCCUGAUGAUUAUUUUCUUCAGACUAAUGGUGUGAUGACCUCUCCUAACAUAUUUGACAAAAAAUAAUUUUCUGUAGAAAGACAUCCUGGACUUGCUCAAACUGCUGCCACAAAAGAAUUAACUACAUUAUGAUGGUCCUAUCAUGUACAGUGAAGGAAACAACCCAUUUCUUGCCAUAUGGUUGAUUUCACUGCUUGAGAAUACUUCAAUCAAAUUACCUCAGCUUUCAAUAAUCCUUCAUGACUGCAGUUCCAAAUAAACUAUUUCAUUUCAAAUGUCAAAAUACAUUUUAACAUGCAACAUUUGUUUAGUGAAUUUUUUUCAACAUUUAUAAUGCCACCAAUUUAGAAUUUUAAGUUAAUUAAAAAUGAAUGAAAUAUCUUCACUCAAAAUACCAUUGAAUGAAGCACAAAUAUUUUACCAUAUCUUUCUUAAAUGUUACAUGUUAUUGGGAUGAUGCUUGUACUUGGUGCAAAAAGAAAUGACA
This 2809-nucleotide long non-coding RNA is filed under the name Sus scrofa (pig). RNAcentral's name for it is "lncRNA (ENSSSCG00000061871.1)". The record is from RNAcentral. Lineage: Eukaryota; Metazoa; Chordata; Mammalia; Artiodactyla; Suidae.